UCAAAAUAAGGCGUGAAAUUGCAGGAACUC
RNAcentral lists this microRNA (30 nucleotides) under Tribolium castaneum (red flour beetle). Its description in RNAcentral is "tca-miR-11628-5p". Lineage: Eukaryota; Metazoa; Arthropoda; Insecta; Coleoptera; Tenebrionidae. The record is from miRBase by way of RNAcentral.